RNAcentral lists this ribosomal RNA (506 nucleotides) under uncultured bacterium. Its description in RNAcentral is "partial 16S ribosomal RNA". It matches the Rfam family "Bacterial small subunit ribosomal RNA", at positions 29 to 523 of the family's 1533-position model. The record is from RNAcentral.
AGUGAACGCUGGCGGUAGGCCUAACACAUGCAAGUCGAACGGCAGCACAGGAGAGCUUGCUCUCUGGGUGGCGAGUGGCGGACGGGUGAGGAAUACAUCGGAAUCUACUUUUUCGUGGGGGAUAACGUAGGGAAACUUACGCUAAUACCGCAUACGACCUACGGGUGAAAGCAGGGGACCUUCUGGCCUUGCGCGAUUGAAUGAGCCGAUGUCGGAUUAGCUAGUUGGCGGGGCGAAGGCCCACCAAGGCGACGAUCCGUAGCUGGUCUGAGGGGAUGAUCAGCCACACUGGAACUGAGACACGGUCCAGACUCCUACGGGAGGCAGCAGUGGGGAAUAUUGGACAAUGGGCGCAAGCCUGAUCCAGCCAUACCGCGUGGGUGAAGAAGGCCUUCGGGUUGUAAAGCCCUUUUGUUGGGAAAGAAAUCCAGCUGGCUAAUACCCGGUUGGGAUGACGGUACCCAAAGAAUAAGCACCGGCUAACUUCGUGCCAGCAGCCGCCGCUG